AUGACAGAGCUAUGCAGGGGGCCGAGAGUUUCUGGCUGUAACGUGACCCUGCAGAUGCUUCAGUCAUGCCUGCUAUUAGAGGCCUUCGCAUGGGCCUCAACCCCCUCCUCCAGGGUCUGGAUGGCCUGACCACCACUGCUGGGGGUUUGGCCGGGAAGACGUGGGAUGAUCAAACAACACUGAGUCAGCUGACUGUCUGGCUCUCUGCCUCAGUGGCUGGCUGAGCUCAGCGCCGUGGUAACGUGCAGCUUGCCAUGUCUGCUGUCGCUACGGGAACCAGCUGCAGUGAGAAACACAGCAAAGCUGGGUCAACAUAGCCUGCCGCAGAUUCAUUCAGAAAAUCUUCUGCCUGAACCAAAUUUAAUACUGAAGAUCAGAUGCCCAACUGUUGUAAGAGCCUAUCAAUGUCAGAAUCACCAGUUCCCAGACAGCCAGCUGGCAUCCCCGUCUGCCAAGAUGAUGUUAUACGGCUCCUCUUAGGAAACCUUCAAAUUAUGACCGUCUAAAAAUGGGCUUCUCCUUCAGUCAGCU
This is a non-coding RNA of Pimephales promelas (fathead minnow), 531 nucleotides long. The record is from RefSeq and is a predicted model, not a curated record. Lineage: Eukaryota; Metazoa; Chordata; Actinopteri; Cypriniformes; Leuciscidae.